Molecule: ribosomal RNA, 459 nt
Filed under: uncultured bacterium
Lineage: Bacteria
Description: partial 16S ribosomal RNA
Rfam family: Bacterial small subunit ribosomal RNA
Source: RNAcentral
CCUACGGGUGGCAGCAGUGAGGAAUAUUGGUCAAUGGCCGAGAGGCUGAACCAGCCAAGUCGCGUGAGGGAAGAAUGUCCUAUGGAUUGUAAACCUCUUUUGUCAGGGAGCAAAGUCACCCACGUGUGGGUGUUGGAGAGUACCUUAAGAAUAAGCAUCGGCUAACUCCGUGCCAGCAGCCGCGGUAAUACGGAGGAUGCGAGCGUUAUCCGGAUUUAUUGGGUUUAAAGGGUGCGUAGGCGGGUUAUCAAGUCAGCGGUAAAAUCGGGGAGCUCAACUCCAUACAGCCGUUGAAACUGAUGAUCGUGAGUGGGCGAGAGGUAUGCGGAAUGCGUGGUGUAGCGGUGAAAUGCAUAGAUAUCACGCAGAACUCCGAUUGCGAAGGCAGCAUACCGGCGCCCGACUGACGCUGAAGCACGAAAGCGUGGGUAGCGAACAGGAUUAGAUACCCCGGUAGUC